Long non-coding RNA from Polypterus senegalus (gray bichir), 329 nucleotides. RefSeq lists it as uncharacterized. The record is from RefSeq and is a predicted model, not a curated record. NCBI's taxonomy places the organism in Eukaryota, Metazoa, Chordata, Cladistia, Polypteriformes, Polypteridae. The transcript has 3 exons.
UGAGCACUUGUGUCAGCAAAUGAGACUGUCGACCACCAAAUGAAGCCUGCUGUAGAGUUUCUCAAACUUCAGAUGGGGGCACACAUUUCCCACUGACAGCUGCUAUGGUAUACUGUGAUGGAGCUGUAGGGGAUGAAGCCAAGAGGGAGGCAAAUGAAGACUUGGUUGAAAGUGAAGACCUACCAAAGAACCACCACCCUAAGCCCUCUUCAAAGUCUCCAGCAAGCAAUUCUUCAUUCGUGGCACCAGAUUCAACCUCUUCAUGAUGUCACUUCAGUUCCAAGACUACAGCCAUCUCUGACUUGAUUUCCUGUCAGUCACAUAUUUAU